Molecule: long non-coding RNA, 746 nt
Organism: Camellia sinensis
Lineage: Eukaryota; Viridiplantae; Streptophyta; Magnoliopsida; Ericales; Theaceae
Source: RefSeq, a predicted model, not a curated record
AAUCUCCAUGGCUUCCUGCAGACAUAAAUUCUCUCUUUAGGGGACCACUCACUCUCCUCUUCCAGAAUUGUAGAGUCAUCAUUGUCCCAAAAGAUUAAUAUGUUAGGAAAUGAACCCAACAAUAUAUAGCAAGCUUCCUACACAACCCUCACAUGUGAUGCCAUCUCACAUGUGAAGAGGUAACCAAAGAAACACACAAACUAAAUCAGAACUUCUUGGAUUUAAGAGCUAUGAUACCAUCACAAUAGUUUAUGUCGUUAGGAAAUGAACCCAAGAUUGUAUAUCAAGCUUCCAACAAGGAUGAGUGGAAACCGAUAGCGUAUUGCUUGAAUUUUCAUAGAUGACAGCAGAAACAAUAAAAUGCUUAGCUUAGCGCCCACUUUGGAAAACCUAGCAACUUGAGAUAAAAUUUAAGCAUAUUCCAAUAUAGCUCUAACCCAAUCCAUUUGAACCUUACCAUUUGUAACAACCCUAUCAUUUCCUUGUACCAGCUCUCUUUGGGAGGUUUCUCCAUUUGCCUUCUCCAUGAGCUUUAUAAGCUGCAAGCAUGGUUAUCAGAAUCCCGAUCCGGAUCUUACGAUCCUACGAUCUUACGAUCCAUUUGAAUACAAUCGAUCCGGAUCAUGUAAAAAACUCUUUGUAGGUAGGAUCUUUCGAUCCUAGUAGUGGGAUCUUAUAGGAUCGUGGAAUCCCGAUCCGAAUCCGAUCCUAUCCGAUCCAAUUUAUAAGCCUUGUUUUGUAUUGUA